This 1344-nucleotide long non-coding RNA is filed under the name Sus scrofa (pig). Its description in RNAcentral is "lncRNA (ENSSSCG00060048692.1)". Lineage: Eukaryota; Metazoa; Chordata; Mammalia; Artiodactyla; Suidae. The record is from RNAcentral.
UUCCUGCCUAGAGUGUCAGAGCUGCAGGGGGCCCUCAGCAUGUCCCAUCAAGACUCAGAGGGGUCUGUCCCUUGUUACAUGACUCUGACCUCAGCAAACUAUCUUUCAGGCCAAUCCCAGUAUUUGAUCAUGCUGACUUUGUCACGUAAUCAAUCCCCUUCCAGCUAGCUAUUGGGCUAAAGGUGACUGGGCCAAAGUACGAUCUGUUCUCAACUCAGCAAGCUGCUCUCGGGAGUGUGUGGGGGAGGUUGCUGAAAAGGGGAGCAGGAGGUUCGUAUAACUUCGUGGGGAGAGAGAAACAACAAACAAGGAGCCGAGCCGACAUUCCCUGUGCCACAGCCAAAGAGUCUGGUUCGCUCACUGUGCAAAGUUUCAAGGACAGAGGAACAAGCUCAAAGUAACAAAAAAAGACCCGUUUGGGUAGAAAUACGAUUUGCCUGCGUGUUUCCUGGAGCAGAUUCGGGACCCCCUGUCGUGCUUUGUCACAGGACGAAUCAGCUCCAUCUCAUUGCUGGAUGUCUGACUGGUGAAGAGUUUGGACCCCAACAAGUCAGAAGAGAUUCAAAACCGCUUGGUGUUACGUGGCUUUUAGCGCAGCGACAGGCUGAUGGUGCUUCGGAGAUGCGGCUCCCACGCCUGUCUGGCUCUGGACACUGAAUACAAGUGGGGCAGUGGCUUCCUCAGGGUUUGUCUUCUUUGGGGCAGCAGGUGUGGCUGGCCCAGGUCUCAAGCAGGCAGCUAGUAGUUGGCCGUCAGCCUAGCCAUCAGCCUAGCCUGGAGGAGUCCUUUCCACAGCACUCCUAGCCAAGCCCUUUCCCAUGAUGUCACGGAUCUGUCACCUUGGCUCUAAAUUGGGGUGUGGGGGGGCUCACGUCUCAGAGGAAGUCUGGGAAGAGGACUGGGUGGAGGGUCACUUCAGGCCAGGCAAGGAGAGGCUGGCACCAAUAUGCACUGCUGGAGUUACCCAAAGAGACAGCCACUCAGAUAAAACUGAAAGAUGAUAAGUUAAAGAGAAACCAGAGCUCCCGAGAAGCCCGAGUGUUCCCUCAGUGGGAGCAAAACUCCCUGGACGCUGGCCACGUGGGCCAACCUCAUCCCCUGUGCCCGGAUCAGAGCAAACACCAAGCUUAUGGCUGGAGGCGGGGAGGCCCGUUAAAACCCCAGAUCGGAGCCUACGCACACCAUGACCUUACUUCUCCCAGGAAGUGAGACUUUCUGAGGAGCAGGUGUCACGAAUCAGGUCUUAGGACAAACAUUAAAGAGAACAAAAACCAAUGUGCGUGGAUGAGGUUAUAAAAGUGAUACGUCCCAAGCAGGGACUGUGGUCCCCAUAGCCUUUCCAUG